CCUGCCUUGCCUCAGUAGCGGCGAGUGAAGCGGCAAGAGCUCAGAUUUGAAAUCUCACCUAGUGUGCGAGUUGUAAAUUGCAGGUUGGAGUCUCGGGUUAGACGUGUGUGCAAGUCCCUUGGAACAGGGUGCCACUGAGGGUGAGAGCCCCGUAGCGUGCAUGUCGACACCUGUGAGGCCCUUCUGACGAGUCGAGUUGUUUGGGAAUGCAGCUCUAAGUGGGUGGUAAAUUCCAUCUAAGGCUAAAUAUUGGCGAGAGACCGAUAGCGAACAAGUACUGUGAAGGAAAGAUGAAAAGCACUUUGAAAAGAGAGUGAAACAGCACGUGAAAUUGUUGAAAGGGAAGGGUAUUGGGCUCGACAUGGGAUUUACGCAUCGUUGCCUCUCGUGGGCGGCGCUCUGGGUUUUUCCUGGGCCAGCAUCGGUUUUCGUUGCAGGAUAAGGACAAUUGGAAUGUGGCUCCUCGGAGUGUUAUAGCCUUUUGUAGAUGCUGCGUAUGGGGACCGAGGGCUGCGGCGGACUCGUUUCGUCUCGGAUGCUGGCACAACGGCGCAAUACCGCCCGUCUUGAAC
This 572-nucleotide ribosomal RNA is filed under the name Pichia kluyveri. RNAcentral's name for it is "partial large subunit ribosomal RNA". It matches the Rfam family "Eukaryotic large subunit ribosomal RNA", at positions 69 to 659 of the family's 3401-position model. The record is from RNAcentral. Lineage: Eukaryota; Fungi; Ascomycota; Pichiomycetes; Pichiales; Pichiaceae.